Molecule: long non-coding RNA, 387 nt
Filed under: Citrus x clementina
Lineage: Eukaryota; Viridiplantae; Streptophyta; Magnoliopsida; Sapindales; Rutaceae
Description: Citrus clementina (C. clementina) long non-coding RNA (CCLE_LNC003521)
Source: RNAcentral
GGGAAGAGAGUUACUUGAUCCCCACGUCGACUUCUACUUAUUUGUGAUAAAGAGGGGAGAAAAAAAAAAAUUAUUCCAUCGGAGUGCUCAAUGUUGAAGCAUUCUCCACUAAAUUUAAGGAAGUAACUUGACCGAAUUGGCAGAAAUAUAAAGUUUGAUUCUUCUACUGGUUUCGUGAUUAUUCAGUUCCAAAAGACAUAUAUUACUACACUUGUAAGUAAAGAAUCCAAAGCCCACAAAAAGGCAAAAAGCAAAAUCAACUCUUAAGCAGGUGCAAAACAGAAUACAGUAAUAACGAGCAACUUCUUAAAGAAAUUAACAUACAAUAAAAUUUUCUGAUUUCCAUUUGGCCCAGUAGAUUAAGGCUCCGUUUGAUACAGUUUUUUA